Micropterus dolomieu (smallmouth bass) is the source of this 244-nucleotide long non-coding RNA. RefSeq lists it as uncharacterized. The transcript is spliced from 2 exons. Lineage: Eukaryota; Metazoa; Chordata; Actinopteri; Centrarchiformes; Centrarchidae. The record is from RefSeq and is a predicted model, not a curated record.
GAGAAUCACUUGCAUGAUGUAAAUUAGCCCGGGAACCACACACUGACCGAAGAUGUCGGAUUUAAGUGAGUUUUUGCGUGUUCGAGGGGUCCCAGAUGAAGCCAUUUCAUUACUGGAAGAACAAAAGAAUGGACGUGGCAACAUUUCAGCCAGUCGCGCUGCUUCUGUCCUCCUGUCUGCUCACUGUGUCCGAGGGCAGCUCCUCACACACAAAGCAGACAGGUGAAUAUAACGUGUUACUGAA